GGUCGUAACGCACGGGACUUCGCCGUCCAAUCGGAAGCCGCCCGGAAUAGGUCCUUCGCCCCCACGGUGCCCCAGAGUUACCCUGGAGGGAUUCGGUCGCCACGGCAACGGGGCACGCCGCGGCGCAGCGACGUGAGGAUGGUGCGGGGUGACUGGCCUCCUGCUUCCACAGCGCAGCAGCCAAGCCCUGGUGUCCCUGAGUUCUCCGUUCGCCUGCACCCCACCUGUACCCUGGAAGGCAAGUUCAUGGAGCAGUCUGGGAUGCCACCUUAGGGCAUGUGUGGGCUUGCAGGAGCCAGGGCCAGUGGAGAACAGCAGGGUGGUGGGGUAGUGGGGUUCUGCUCAGGGAACAGGAGUCUGAGGGGCCGGGAGCACCCUUUCCGGGAAGCGAGUAGCGGGGACAUUGCCCCUGCCUUGAAGGGCACAGGGAUGGGAUGCGGUACUUACAGCUUUGGAAGGUGACAGAGAAUGUGUAGAAGACUCGGGGAGGGGCUGGUGGCAGGAGGCUGCUCGCUCUGCUCGAGCCUGGAAGGCAGGACAGAGACAGGGCUCUUCAGCCAGGAUGGGCAAGAGCCGUCACACAGCCGGGGUAGAGGAGGCAUGGGAGACCCGCUCAGAGGGAUCAGGAUCGCAAGCUGGCAGACACCAGGCUGUGUAGGCCCAGUGGGGUCUGGACUCUACUGGGGGUAGUGGGGAGGCCGAGGAAGGGAGUGCAGGGCCAGACAGAGUUCCUGAUGCCACAGCUGCCCUAUGACUUUUGUCGGUCCCUUCCUCAUUUUUUUUUUAGGUUUGUUUAUUUAUUUUGAGAGAGAGAGAGAGAGAGAGCAUGCGGGAGGGGCAGAGAGAGAAGGAGAGAGAGAAUCCCAAGCUGGCUCUGCACUGUCAGCACAGAGACUGGUGAGGGAUGCGAACUCACAACCAUGAGAUCAUGACCAAGCCAAAAUCAAGAGUCAGACACUAACCAACUGAGCCACGCAGGCGCCCCAGUCCUUUCCUCCCUUAAAAAAAAUAUCAAAAAUCAUAUUUUACUACUGCCUUGCUAUCUAGGCAAACAUAAAUCCAGGCUCCAUUCAUUAUUACCUAUUCAUUAUAACUUUAUUGAUUUUUUAAUUAAUUUGUUUAUGUUUAUUCAUUUUUUGAGAGAGAGAGAGAGAGAGAGAGGCAGGCAGAGAGAGAGAGAGAGAGAGGGAGACACAGAAUCUGAAACAGGCUCCAGGCUCUGAAUUGUCAGCACAGACCCCAAUGCGAGGAUGCAGCCCACGAAACAGAUCAUGACCUGAGCUGAAGUCAGAUGCUUAACCGACUGAGCCAUCCACGCACCCCUCAAUUUUUUCCUUCUGAUUUUACAAGUGGGUAAAAUUCAAAUAUUUUCAUGGGUCUUGUGAAUAAAUUGGCCCUGCCUGGAGUGUCACCUGCUCAUCACAGGGUCAUUGGCUUGUGACAUUUAGGACAGACCCCCAGGGACGGGCCCUGCCCUAUCUAUGACAUCAUUCUUCCUUCCUCUAGCUUCUGUGUCCUCUCAGGAAGGUGCAUUUAAAGAUCCCCAAUGGGGCAGAGAUUGUCUUUGAUGCUAAUGGAGACAGAGUUACAGGAUUUGACAUUUUGCAAGGGCAGAAAACUGUAAAAGGCCUGUUCUACUCUGUCCACGUAGAUGUAUGUGACCCACAAGCCUCCUCAGGGGGUGGAAUGAUGGUCCAGUUGAUGGAGGAGGGGCUCCGGGUGAGUUGUACACAGAUCACCUCAGUCCUGGCGAACUAAAGCCAGCGAGGAACUCAGAGGCCAGUGGUCCAAGUGGCUGUCUGAUGUAGAAUGUGUGUGUGGGGGGGCGGUCUAAAUUGGGCCAGUUGUAACUCAUCUAUGUUUUUUGGCCAUAACCAGACCCUACCGUGAGGGGAGAAGAGGCAUUUACUUGUCAUCCAAAAUGAAAAUAUUGGAGCCACCAAUGUCGAAUUAGAGUUUGCAUCAGGGAUUUACCCUAGAGUAAUUUUUAAAGAUUUUAAAAUGUUUAUUUAUUUUUGAGAGAGAGAAAAACAUGCAAGCCAGGGAGGGGCAGAAAGAGGGGAACAGAGGAUCCUAGACGAGGAGCCUGAUGCUGGGCUUGAACUCCCGAGCCAUGAGACCAUGACCUGAGCUGAAGUCAGACACUCAACCAACUGAGCCACCCAGGCGCCCUUACCCUAGAGUAUUUUUCUUGUCUGUACUCAGGGACCUGCUUGGCGAAGAAGUGGGGAAUUUACUGGGAAGAUGGAAAAACACUCCACCUCACACAUUCCCAUAGAGCAUCUGGGAGGCGCGGCGUGACAGGUGUCCUUGUUUCGUUUAUUAACAGUCAGUUGCCAGCUUUGGGUAGGUAUGUCCAGGUGUCCUCUGUGGCUCACAGAGACACCCUGGCCCCCUGGUGACAGCAUUGGGUGUGUGACUCCUUCCACUGCAACCCCCUUCUUCCAUUGAUGGCCUUCAGGUUUUCCAAUUGAGAGGUGCCCAUCCUUGGACCACAUUCACAGGGUUCUCUUGAAGUCCUUUUCAACUGGCCUGACAGGAAAGAACACAGUGCUCCCCUUUGGGGGUUGGGGACCCAACACCCCAACACUUCCCUCAAAGCCUGAGUUCCAGGAUCCAGCCAGAUCCACCAGCAGGGAGAUCAUCACGAUGUACCCUUGAAAUACCUCACAAAUUUAUUUGUCAGUUAUACAUCAGCAAAGUUAGAAGAAAGAAGAAGAAAUGAAUGAAUCAGUACAUGGAAUAUGUGGAAUGCUCAUGGGAUCCUCCCUCCCUGUAGCUGGCCUCCUUACCAUCACAUGGCAGGCAGGACUCUAUGUCUCCCACAGACAUGAAGAAAUGUCUUCUGUGUCCCAAGGAGCAGCACCCAAGCCAGGCCAGAGUCCACUGCCUGCCCAGGAUGGACACCUUCCUGGUCUUUGACGAGCCCCUGGGGUUGAUGCUGACCUCAGUGAUGCUCACGUUGGCCAGCCUGACCAUGUUAUUCCUAGUGAUGUCCCUGAGGCAUCGGGACAUGCCCAUGAUCAGGGCCAACGACAGGGCGCUCAGCUGCAUGCUUCUCACCUCCCUAACUCUGCCCCUCUGCCCCUUGCUCUUCCUCAGCCAUCCCACCCCUGCCACCUUCCUUCUCCACCAGACAACCUUUGCUGUCAUGUUCACCAUGGCCAUUUCUCCAUCUUGGCCAGACUGGGGUCCUGGCCUUCAGAGUCACCAGGCCUGGCAACAGGGCUUCACAUAUACUGUGCCUCCACCCAGGUUGUCCUCAUCACCUGAUGAUGCGAGUAUUUCUCUGUGGGGUCCGGCUGGGCAACUUCCUACCGUUCCCUGACAGGGACAGCCUCAGAGUCCAGCCACGUUGCCAGGGGGCACUGUGCUGACAGCUCAGAGCCUGGAGCCUGCUUCGGAUCUGUGUCUCCCAUUCUCUCUGCCCCUCCCCCACCUC
Long non-coding RNA from Neofelis nebulosa (Clouded leopard), 3442 nucleotides. RefSeq lists it as uncharacterized. The transcript has 3 exons. The record is from RefSeq and is a predicted model, not a curated record. NCBI's taxonomy places the organism in Eukaryota, Metazoa, Chordata, Mammalia, Carnivora, Felidae.